GGAUCCGAGAGUGAUCUAGCUCUGACAUCUGUCACCCCAUUGAUUGCCAGCGUGGAUUUGACUGAUCUGGCUGGCUAGAGGGGUGUCUGCUUUCUCCUUCACUGCUCCAUAUGUGUCCUUCCAGAAGCUGCAAGCUCAGUCAAAGAGGACAACAUGUUCCAAUAGAGGAGGACUGUACCUUGGUCAAGGGUAUAUGAUAGCUGUGCUCCCUUGCUAGAGACUCCAAACAAGCUCUCUAAGUCUAAGGUCAGGGAGGGCAAGGGGAACUAGGAGAAACAUCAAAUGAGUACAAU
This 293-nucleotide small nuclear RNA is filed under the name Callithrix jacchus (white-tufted-ear marmoset). Its description in RNAcentral is "7SK RNA". It matches the Rfam family "7SK RNA". From Rfam's summary of the family: 7SK was discovered as an abundant small nuclear RNA in the mid-70s but a possible function has only recently been suggested. Two independent studies have found that 7SK RNA binds the CDK9/cyclin T complex (known as elongation factor P-TEFb). The record is from Rfam by way of RNAcentral. Lineage: Eukaryota; Metazoa; Chordata; Mammalia; Primates; Cebidae.